AGCGAACGCUGGCGGCAGGCCUAACACAUGCAAGUCGAACGAACCUUUCGGGGUUAGUGGCGGACGGGUGAGUAACACGUGGGAACGUGCCUUUAGGUUCGGAAUAACUCAGGGAAACUUGUGCUAAUACCGAAUGUGCCCUUCGGGGGAAAGAUUUAUCGCCUUUAGAGCGGCCCGCGUCUGAUUAGCUAGUUGGUUGAGGUAAUGGCUCACCAAGGCGACGAUCAGUAGCUGGUCUGAGAGGAUGAUCAGCCACAUUGGGACUGAGACACGGCCCAAACUCCUACGGGAGGCAGCAGUGGGGAACCUUGCGCAAUGGGCGAAAGCCUGACGCAGCCAUGCCGCGUGAAUGAUGAAGGUCUUAGGAUUGUAAAAUUCUUUCACCGGGGACGAUAAUGACGGUACCCGGAGAAGAAGCCCCGGCUAACUUCGUG
Molecule: ribosomal RNA, 434 nt
Filed under: uncultured bacterium
Lineage: Bacteria
Description: partial 16S ribosomal RNA
Rfam family: Bacterial small subunit ribosomal RNA
Source: RNAcentral